AUGGCACCCUGCAUGGUGUCUGGAGAAUACCAGGUGCCAGAAACAGUGAUGGGAGAAGGUGGAGGCAGAUACAGGUUGAAACACUGGAUCCAAAUCAUUUGUAGAUUAAGGAAAAAAUUAUAUGCAUUUAUUUGAUUCCAGCUGGCUGCAACCUCUAUUACCAAGUAGUAAAGAGACUAAAUGCAACUGGCAUCAAGUUUAAAGAAACUUGAUAUCUAAGCCCGACUUUCACUCUUAAGCUCAUUUUUCUUAGGUACAUUUCAAACACCAGAAUCAUUCUUAUCAAUGACAACAGCACCCUUUAUUGAUAUGGGAGAAUAUGCUUCAAGAACACUCUUGGGAGGAGGGCUCACACAAACUUAUUGAAAACCUCAGAACUGGUGAAAUGGCCCAUAACACACGCAGACUUUUUUCCCCUACACCAGUCUCUGCAUCAUAGAAGGAGGUGGUAUUUGUAGUUUCCUGUACUAAGAUAGCCUGACUCAUACCUAAAGCAAUGUCUCACUCCUCAAUGCAGUGUGUUGUGGUUUUUAGAGUAGCCUCAGACAGGCAGACCGAGAAAAUCCACAAAACAGGAAGACAAAUGAAUCGACUAGUGAGUCCAGCAUCAUGAUCAGUUUUCGGGUCUACAAAAUGCUUUCUGAUCUUGGUCUUGCCAGAGCUGGUUGUUUAAAAGUUGAUGAAGGCAUGCAUGAAAGCUCUCAGAAUAAAUAACCCUGUUUCUUUUGUAAAAGUGUAUUC
Molecule: long non-coding RNA, 741 nt
Filed under: Cyanistes caeruleus (blue tit)
Lineage: Eukaryota; Metazoa; Chordata; Aves; Passeriformes; Paridae
Description: lncRNA (ENSCCEG00000008635.1)
Source: RNAcentral